UACGAAGGGGGCUAGCGUUGCUCGGAAUCACUGGGCGUAAAGCGCACGUAGGCGGAUUCUUAAGUCGGUGGUGAAAUCCUGGAGCUCAACUCCAGAACUGCCUUUAAGACUGCAUCGCUAGAAUUGUGGAGAGGUAAGUGGAAUUCCGAGUGUAGAGGUGAAAUUCGUAGAUAUUCGGAAGAACACCAGUGGCGAAGGCGACUUACUGGACACAUAUUGACGCUGAGGUGCGAAAGCGUGGGGAGCAAACAGG
RNAcentral lists this ribosomal RNA (253 nucleotides) under uncultured bacterium. RNAcentral describes it as "partial 16S ribosomal RNA". It matches the Rfam family "Bacterial small subunit ribosomal RNA", at positions 524 to 776 of the family's 1533-position model. The record is from RNAcentral.